This 434-nucleotide ribosomal RNA is filed under the name uncultured bacterium. RNAcentral describes it as "partial 16S ribosomal RNA". It matches the Rfam family "Bacterial small subunit ribosomal RNA", at positions 29 to 507 of the family's 1533-position model. The record is from RNAcentral.
AGCGAACGCUGGCGGCAGGCCUAACACAUGCAAGUCGAACGAACCUUUCGGGGUUAGUGGCGGACGGGUGAGUAACACGUGGGAACGUGCCUUUAGGUUCGGAAUAACUCAGGGAAACUUGUGCUAAUACCGAAUGUGCCCUUCGGGGGAAAGAUUAAUCGCCUUUAGAGCGGCCCGCGUCUGAUUAGCUAGUUGGUUGAGGUAAUGGCUCACCAAGGCGACGAUCAGUAGCUGGUCUGAGAGGAUGAUCAGCCACAUUGGGACUGAGACACGGCCCAAACUCCUACGGGAGGCAGCAGUGGGAAAUCUUGCGCAAUGGGCGAAAGCCUGACGCAGCCAUGCCGCGUGAAUGAUGAAGGUCUUAGGAUUGUAAAAUUCCUUCACCGGGGACGAUAAUGACGGUACCCGGAGAAGAAGCCCCGGCUAACUUCGUG